RNAcentral lists this ribosomal RNA (459 nucleotides) under Oribacterium sinus. Its description in RNAcentral is "bacterial SSU rRNA". It matches the Rfam family "Bacterial small subunit ribosomal RNA", at positions 28 to 489 of the family's 1533-position model. Lineage: Bacteria; Bacillati; Bacillota; Clostridia; Lachnospirales; Lachnospiraceae. The record is from RNAcentral.
GAUGAACGCUGGCGGCGUGCCUAACACAUGCAAGUCGAACGGGAUGCGUAUCGGAAAGCUUCGGCCGGAAGAUACGUUAUCUAGUGGCGGACGGGUGAGUAACACGUGGGUAACCUGCCUUAUGGAGGGGGAUAACAGAGAGAAAUCACUGCUAAUACCGCAUAAGCACACAGUACCGCAUGGUACAGGGUGAAAAGAUUUAUCGCCAUAAGAUGGACCCGCGUCUGAUUAGCCAGUUGGCAGGGUAAAAGCCUACCAAAGCAACGAUCAGUAGCCGAUCUGAGAGGAUGACCGGCCACAUUGGGACUGAGACACGGCCCAAACUCCUACGGGAGGCAGCAGUGGGGAAUAUUGCACAAUGGGGGAAACCCUGAUGCAGCGACGCCGCGUGAGUGAAGAAGUAUUUCGGUAUGUAAAGCUCUAUCAGCAGGGAAGAUAAUGACAGUACCUGACUAAGAG